AAGAUCUCGCUCGAUCUCCUGCCUACGUAUCUCAUCUGGUAUGAGACUCAGGGCGAUGUAGUUCCCCUUAACAGGGGAGAAACUCUCUCCUAACCAGAGACCAGGGAAACAACAAACUAAGAGGGAGACUAACUCGAGCCUAAUAGUUGUCAUGCAAUCCACAAUCCCUAAGUUGAGGUCUCUAAUCAAGCAUCUAACUCACACAGGAAGCAA
RNAcentral lists this long non-coding RNA (213 nucleotides) under Lathyrus oleraceus (garden pea). RNAcentral describes it as "Pisum sativum (pea) long non-coding RNA (PSAT_LNC011780)". The record is from RNAcentral. Lineage: Eukaryota; Viridiplantae; Streptophyta; Magnoliopsida; Fabales; Fabaceae.